This 435-nucleotide ribosomal RNA is filed under the name Triticum aestivum (bread wheat). Its description in RNAcentral is "partial small subunit ribosomal RNA". Lineage: Eukaryota; Viridiplantae; Streptophyta; Magnoliopsida; Poales; Poaceae. The record is from RNAcentral.
AUGAACCUAUUUGAAGUGGCCCAUUUCGUACCAGAAAAGCCCAUGUAUGAACAAGGGUUGAUUUUACUUCCACACUUAGCUACUCUAGGCUGGGGAGUAGGGCCAGGGGGGGUUCUAGAUACUUUUCCGUACUUUGUAUCUGGCGUACUUCACCUAAUUUCCUCCGCAGUCUUAGGCUUCGGUGGCCUUUAUCACGCGCUUCUGGGACCCGAGACUCUUGAGGAAUCUUUUCCAUUCUUUGGUUAUGUCUGGAAAGAUAGAAAUAAAAUGACUACAAUUUUGGGUAUUCACUUAAUUUUGUUAGGUCUAGGUGCUUUUCUUCUAGUACUCAAGGCUCUUUAUUUUGGCGGUGUAUAUGAUACCUGGGCCCCUGGGGGAGAUGUAAGAAAAAUUACCAAUUUGACCCUUAGCCCGUUAUAUUUGGUUAUUUACUAA